AUUGAGUUUGAUCCUGGCUCAGAUUGAACGCUGGCGGCAUGCCUUACACAUGCAAGUCGAACGGCAGCACGGGUGCUUGCACCUGGUGGCGAGUGGCGAACGGGUGAGUAAUACAUCGGAACGUACCUUGUAGUGGGGGAUAGCUCGGCGAAAGCCGGAUUAAUACCGCAUACGCUCUGAGGAGGAAAGCGGGGGACCUUCGGGCCUCGCGCUACAAGAGCGGCCGAUGUCAGAUUAGCUAGUUGGUGGGGUAAAAGCUCACCAAGGCGACGAUCUGUAGCUGGUCUGAGAGGACGACCAGCCACACUGGGACUGAGACACGGCCCUGACUCCUACGGGAGGCAGCAGUGGGGAAUUUUGGACAACGGGCGAAAGCCUGAUCCAGCAAUGCCGCGUGUGUGAAGAAGGCCUUCGGGUUGUAAAGCACUUUUGUCCGGAAAGAAAUCCUCUGGGUUAAUACCUCGGGGGGAUGACGGUACCGGAAGAAUAAGCACCGGCUAACUACGUGCCAGCAGCCGCGGUAAUAAU
This 528-nucleotide ribosomal RNA is filed under the name uncultured bacterium. RNAcentral's name for it is "bacterial SSU rRNA". It matches the Rfam family "Bacterial small subunit ribosomal RNA", at positions 1 to 526 of the family's 1533-position model. The record is from RNAcentral.